RNAcentral lists this transfer RNA (76 nucleotides) under Lactobacillus johnsonii. Its description in RNAcentral is "tRNA-Pro". It matches the Rfam family "tRNA". From Rfam's summary of the family: Transfer RNA (tRNA) molecules are approximately 80 nucleotides in length. Their secondary structure includes four short double-helical elements and three loops (D, anti-codon, and T loops). Lineage: Bacteria; Bacillati; Bacillota; Bacilli; Lactobacillales; Lactobacillaceae. The record is from RNAcentral.
UCGGGAAGUGGCUCAGUUUAGUAGAGCACCUGGUUUGGGACCAGGGGGUCGCAGGUUCGAAUCCUGUCUUCCCGAU